Molecule: long non-coding RNA, 519 nt
Filed under: Ananas comosus (pineapple)
Lineage: Eukaryota; Viridiplantae; Streptophyta; Magnoliopsida; Poales; Bromeliaceae
Description: long non-coding RNA (ACOM_LNC002327)
Source: RNAcentral
UAAGAAAAAAUAAUUUUUAAUAAAUUUUUGUAAUGUUUAAAAAUAUUUUCGGCAUAAAUUAUCAGAACUUGACGGAGGAAGUUUAAAUACAUUAACUUAAAAAUUUUAAGAGAAUAACAUAUAAAUUUUUAAAAAUUCACACGAUGGGCGAAGGCAAUUACGCCAUUUCGGGUUAACUCGAGUUUCAGCCGUAACUAUUUUACGGCGAACCAAACAACGAAAGUGAUCGCUUAUAACGUAGGCUUAGUUUGGUACUGAGAUCUAUCUAACGCUAUUAGAUAGAAUGGAGUUGAAAAAAAAUAUUUAGGAAUAUACUUCUGCGUUCUCUAAUGGAACCGCAGAAAAUAUAUCGUAACCGACUAACAACAAUAUGAAAAAAACAAACAUAAUAUUUUUUCAUUUCUCACCGUACGUAGCACAAUCUUCCUAUAAUUUCAAACGAAACCUUCUCUCUCCUCUCUACUUCCACCUCACUUUCAGCCAAACAAACGCACCCUUUAAAAGCGAAAUAUAACUUAA